GAUCAUGGCUCAGAUUGAACGCUGGCGGCAGGCCUAACACAUGCAAGUCGGAACGGUAACAGGGAAGCAGCUUGCUGCUUUGCUGACGAGUGGCGGACGGGUGAGUAAUGUCUGGGAAACUGCCGUGAUGGAGGGGGAUAACUACUGGAAACGGUAGCUAAUACCGCAUAACGUCGCAAGACCAAAGAGGGGGACCUUCGGGCCUCUUGCCAUCGGAUGUGCCCAGAUGGGAUUAG
Molecule: ribosomal RNA, 236 nt
Filed under: uncultured bacterium
Lineage: Bacteria
Description: partial 16S ribosomal RNA
Rfam family: Bacterial small subunit ribosomal RNA
Source: RNAcentral